Pestalotiopsis sp. NC0098 is the source of this 95-nucleotide non-coding RNA. The record is from the annotation of a GenBank genome assembly. NCBI's taxonomy places the organism in Eukaryota, Fungi, Ascomycota, Sordariomycetes, Amphisphaeriales, Sporocadaceae.
CCUCUUGUAGUGUAGUGGUUAGCACGUGAGAUUUUGAUUAGACUCUCGUCUGUCUCAAUAUUCUCGAGUCCCCGGUUCGAACCCGGGCAAGAGGU